RNAcentral lists this ribosomal RNA (253 nucleotides) under Segatella copri DSM 18205. RNAcentral's name for it is "Prevotella copri DSM 18205 partial 16S ribosomal RNA". It matches the Rfam family "Bacterial small subunit ribosomal RNA", at positions 524 to 776 of the family's 1533-position model. The record is from RNAcentral. Lineage: Bacteria; Pseudomonadati; Bacteroidota; Bacteroidia; Bacteroidales; Prevotellaceae.
UACGGAAGGUCCGGGUGUUAUCCGGAUUUAUUGGGUUUAAAGGGAGCGUAGGCCGGAGAUUAAGCGUGUUGUGAAAUGUAGAUGCUCAACAUCUGAACUGCAGCGCGAACUGGUUUCCUUGAGUACGCAUAAAGUGGGCGGAAUUCGUGGUGUAGCGGUGAAAUGCUUAGAUAUCACGAAGAACUCCGAUUGCGAAGGCAGCUCACUGGGGCGCAACUGACGCUGAAGCUCGAAAGCGCGGGUAUCGAACAGG